AAUAAAAUCAAGUAAUAUUUCAGUUAACCCAUAUUGAAAUAUCUAAAUCUAUAUUCAAUUGUACAGUUGUUCUUAAAUUUCUUCUCUUUGGUAUCAAAAGUAAAAUCCCUUUCAGGUAUGAA
Etheostoma cragini (Arkansas darter) is the source of this 122-nucleotide long non-coding RNA. RefSeq lists it as uncharacterized. The transcript has 3 exons. NCBI's taxonomy places the organism in Eukaryota, Metazoa, Chordata, Actinopteri, Perciformes, Percidae. The record is from RefSeq and is a predicted model, not a curated record.